RNAcentral lists this ribosomal RNA (431 nucleotides) under Rhipicephalus sanguineus (brown dog tick). RNAcentral describes it as "partial large subunit ribosomal RNA". The record is from RNAcentral. Lineage: Eukaryota; Metazoa; Arthropoda; Arachnida; Ixodida; Ixodidae.
UUUUUAAAUUGCUGUAGUAUUUUGACUAUACAAAGGUAUUGAAAUAAGAUUUUAAUUGAAUGCUAAGAGAAUGGAAUUUCAGAAAAAAACUUUUUUCAAGUUAAAAAUUGAAAUUUUUUCAAUUUGUGCAGAAACAAUUAUUAAUAUUAAGGACAAGAAGACCCUAUGAAUUUAUAAAUUUUAUUUAAUAUGUAACUACUAUUGAAAAAAUUUUAGCUGGGGCGGCGGAAAAAUAUUUAAAACUUUUUUAAAAUAAAAUGACCCAUUAUUAAUGAUUAUAUGUUAAAUACUCUAGGGAUAACAGCGUUAUAUUUUUUGAUAGAUCAUAUUGACAAAAAAGUUUGCGACCUCGAUGUUGGAUUAGGAUACUUUUUUAAUGCAGAUAUUAAAAAAAGAAGUUUGUUCAACUUUUAAUUUCCUACUUGAUCUGA